ACUUUGGUGGCGACCGGCGCACGGGUGCGUAACGCGUAUGUAACCUACCUAUAACAGGGGCAUAACACUGAGAAAUUGGUACUAAUUCCCCAUAAUAUUCGGAGAGGCAUCUCUCCGGGUUGAAAACUCCGGUGGUUAUAGAUGGACAUGCGUUGUAUUAGCUAGUUGGUGAGGUAACGGCUCACCAAGGCAACGAUACAUAGGGGGACUGAGAGGUUAACCCCCCACACUGGUACUGAGACACGGACCAGACUCCUACGGGAGGCAGCAGUGAGGAAUAUUGGUCAAUGGACGCAAGUCUGAACCAGCCAUGCCGCGUGCAGGAAGACGGCUCUAUGAGUUGUAAACUGCUUUUGUACGAGGGUAAACUCACCUACGUGUAGGCGACUGAAAGUAUCGUACGAAUAAGGAUCGGCUAACUCCGUGCCAGCAGCCGCGGUAAUACGGAGGAUUCAAGCGUUAUCCGGAUUUAUUGGGUUUAAAGGGUGCGUAGGCGGUUUGAUAAGUUAGAGGUGAAAUCCCGGGGCUUAACUCCGGAACUGCCUCUAAUACUGUUAGACUAGAGAGUAGUUGCGGUAGGCGGAAUGUAUGGUGUAGCGGUGAAAUGCUUAGAGAUCAUACAGAACA
RNAcentral lists this ribosomal RNA (627 nucleotides) under uncultured Bacteroidales bacterium. RNAcentral's name for it is "bacterial SSU rRNA". It matches the Rfam family "Bacterial small subunit ribosomal RNA", at positions 82 to 708 of the family's 1533-position model. Lineage: Bacteria; Pseudomonadati; Bacteroidota; Bacteroidia; Bacteroidales. The record is from RNAcentral.